RNAcentral lists this ribosomal RNA (498 nucleotides) under uncultured bacterium. RNAcentral's name for it is "partial 16S ribosomal RNA". It matches the Rfam family "Bacterial small subunit ribosomal RNA", at positions 30 to 523 of the family's 1533-position model. The record is from RNAcentral.
AUUGAACGCUGGCGGCAUGCCUUACACAUGCAAGUCGAACGGUAACAGGUCUUCGGAUGCUGACGAGUGGCGAACGGGUGAGUAAUACAUCGGAACGUGCCUAGUAGUGGGGGAUAACUACUCGAAAGAGUGGCUAAUACCGCAUGAGAUCUACAGAUGAAAGCAGGGGAUCGCAAGACCUUGUGCUACUAGAGCGGCCGAUGGCAGAUUAGGUAGUUGGUGGGAUAAAAGCUUACCAAGCCGACGAUCUGUAGCUGGUCUGAGAGGACGAUCAGCCACACUGGGACUGAGACACGGCCCAGACUCCUACGGGAGGCAGCAGUGGGGAAUUUUGGACAGUGGGCGCAAGCCUGAUCCAGCAAUGCCGCGUGCAGGAUGAAGGCCUUCGGGUUGUAAACUGCUUUUGUACGGAACGAAAAGCCCCGGGUUAAUACCCUGGGGUCAUGACGGUACCGUAAGAAUAAGCACCGGCUAACUACGUGCCAGCAGCCGCCGUAA